CCAAAACCAAGAGUCAGACGCUUAACCAACUGAGCCACCCAGAUGCUCCUCAAAAUCUCUUACAAUUUCAGUCAGAAGGAAAAGAGUCUACAUUCAGGCCAUGGUAUCUUCACAGGCAGAGUGAGUGAGUGUCCUCUGUCGAAGGUUCUACACCGUCUUUGAAUCAUUACAAAUGAAUAAUCGUCAUCCUUCCUAUUUUAACGGGGCUGGAGAACACAACGUCCCCUUUGGUUUACAACCCGGGAAGAUUCUUCAGGAUGGCAGUCAUGCCCACUUGCGCAGAUUAGAAGCCACAAAGAUCAAUUUUCUUAGCCAUUUCUGUGACCUGCCUGUGCAAGAGGAGUGGUUUGGUGAGACUUUGCCUGUAGGGAUCAGUGGAGUCGUAGCCUGUGCCUGACAUAAGACACGAGUGCGGGGCCCCGGGUGCCACAGCCAGGAGCUCCCGGGAGGUUCUCGGCUCCUUGAUGAAAGGCUGCUUUGGACCAAAGGUGACGCACUGCUCUGCUCACCCCUCGUCUGUGACCCUGGGGCAGGAAGACUAAUGCGCCAGAUCAAACCAGGAGCAGAGGGAAAAUCUUCAAGCUAAGCCUGUGUGAGGGGUUUCUUAAAGGCAGAAUUUAUAGUUGCCUUUAAAAAACUCACUGGCAGUCUCUAGCGGGACUAGAUAUUCAUUGUUUAAGAUCCAUGGGUUAUAUUUGCCAUGCAUCCAAUGACUCUGUUUUACUGCCUAGGCAUUUUCUUUGGCACGAUCUUCUUUCUUUUACCCAUCAUCGUGGCCAGUUGGAUAAUUGUAAAGCACAAACAAGGCAAAACUACAGAUGAAAAACGUAAGGAGAGUAUCCAUUUACAUCCUCAAGAAGAGAGCGGUGUAAGUCCUCAAACUGUGCAAACAAAUCAGGAGAACAGCAGGUACGUAAUGUACAUAUUGAAUUCAUAAUGUUGUCAGUAACUCAGAGCGAAAGUGAGAACAGGAUGUGCCUAA
Molecule: long non-coding RNA, 982 nt
Organism: Neofelis nebulosa (Clouded leopard)
Lineage: Eukaryota; Metazoa; Chordata; Mammalia; Carnivora; Felidae
Exons: 2
Source: RefSeq, a predicted model, not a curated record